This 508-nucleotide ribosomal RNA is filed under the name uncultured bacterium. RNAcentral describes it as "bacterial SSU rRNA". It matches the Rfam family "Bacterial small subunit ribosomal RNA", at positions 28 to 527 of the family's 1533-position model. The record is from RNAcentral.
GACGAACGCUGGCGGCGUGGAUUAGGCAUGCAAGUCGAACGGUAUCAUCCUUUCGGGGGUGAGAGAGUGGCGAACUGGUGAGUAGCACGUAGGUUAUCUACCCUCAAGACGGGGACAACCCAGGGAAACUUGGGCUAAUACCGGAUGUGAGCAACUUUUGGUUGUUUGAAAGGUGGCGUAAGCUGUCGCUUGGGGAUGAGCCUGCGUCCUAUUAGUUAGUUGGUGAGGUAACGGCUCACCUAGGCAAUGAUAGGUAGGCGGCCUUAACGGGUGGUCGCCCACACUGGGAUUGAGAUACGGCCCAGACUCCUACGGGAGGCAGCAGUCGAGAAUAGUCUACAAUGGUCGGAAGACUGAUAGUGCGACGCCGCGUGAACGAUGAAUCCCUUCGGGGUGUAAAGUUCUUUUAUAUGUGAGCAGUGCUUCUUAUAUUAACAGUAUGGGGAGAGAGAUAUUAGCAUAUGAAUAAGCAACGGCUAACUCCGUGCCAGCAGCCGCGGUAAACACG